GGCUGGUCUGAGUGUAGUGGUGUUUACGACUAAUUGAUCAUAACCAGUUACAGAUUUCUUUGUUGCUUCUCGACUUCUCAUAUGUCACGUGACUAGCCUUAA
Molecule: Y RNA, 102 nt
Organism: Callithrix jacchus (white-tufted-ear marmoset)
Lineage: Eukaryota; Metazoa; Chordata; Mammalia; Primates; Cebidae
Rfam family: Y RNA
About the family: Y RNAs are components of the Ro ribonucleoprotein particle (Ro RNP), in association with Ro60 and La proteins. The Y RNAs and Ro60 and La proteins are well conserved, but the function of the Ro RNP is not known.
Source: Ensembl